Molecule: non-coding RNA, 45 nt
Organism: Schistosoma rodhaini
Lineage: Eukaryota; Metazoa; Platyhelminthes; Trematoda; Strigeidida; Schistosomatidae
Source: Rfam
AUCCAGCUGAUAAGUCCCAAAUAGGACGAAAUACGUGUCUUGAAU